Molecule: unclassified non-coding RNA, 1450 nt
Filed under: Hevea brasiliensis (rubber tree)
Lineage: Eukaryota; Viridiplantae; Streptophyta; Magnoliopsida; Malpighiales; Euphorbiaceae
Source: RNAcentral
GUUGACUUAUACUGCUGAAAGGUAAGUUUAUAGUGCUUUUCAUAUUUUAAGCUGUUCUAAAGUUUCUGAUAACAUCAAUGAUGUAUAUGGAUUUGAAUUAUAUCUCCUGGUCCUGGUGUAUUACAUAAAAUUACGAAUUUUUAUGAUGUUCUAAAGUUUCUGCUGAAAGGGAUUUAGAGUUUGUAGGUUGAAUUGGCUUCAAUAUACUAACAUAUGAAAGCUAAAUAAUGCCUUUUUGGUGGCAUGGAAUAGCAGGAUCUAUAUCCACCAGUUUCGGGCAGCAGGAAAAUUUUGGUUGUAAGGGUUGUUUAUGUUUUAACUAAUAGAAGGAAAGGUGAGCUGGAUUCCUAAGUUUAGAAAGGAAAGGUGAACUGUGUAUUGAUAGGAAUUAUGAUGUGUUGCUUUGUUUAAGAAGGGAAGAUGAAUUGUGUAUUGGUAGGAAUUAUGAUGUGGUCCUGAUUAAAUCAAUAAAAACAGCUGAGCUUUAACCCGAAAUUAGCUGUAGUCGGCUUUAUGGAUCAUUUUUUGUCAUUCAUCUCUUUUAGACACCAUGUUUGCAUCAAUGUCCUGAUUAAAUCAAUAAUAUAAAAUUUUUGAGAGCUUUUAGCAUUGGGUUGUGAUGAAUGGUAACCUCAGACUGUGUAGCAACAAGUAGAGAGAACGAUAAGGGGGAGAAUACACCACAUAAAUUUGACAGCUCAUGGACCAAUAGUUACAUUUAUUUCAGCUGGAUGUAGAUUUAUAUGGCAUAUGUGUUUGAAUGUGGUUCCUAGUCAUCGAUUUAUGUUGUUUGCUUUAAUGGAUUUCACAUUUGCUUUUAUUUGCUAAUCAUAGGCAACGUGUCACCUAUGUAGCACGGAAAUGGAAAUGAGGAAACGGUAAAACGACAUUUUAAAAAUUAUAGGAAACAGAAAUGUGGGGAAACGUGUAAAUAUAAAAAAUAUAAGGGUAUAUAUAUGUGUGUAUGUGUGUUAUAAAAGAUGUUUAAUGAUAAAUAAAGUCCAAAUCAAUAUUUAAAAUCAAUUAUAAAUAUACAUAUUUAGAAGCUUUAUAUUCAUAAGAAAAAAUAUAAAUUAUUUCAGAUUCAAAUGUUAAAAAAGGAAAAGAUAAUAAAUUUAUGACAUUUUCUAUAUUUCAUUGUCUUGUGCCUUAUCUAUAUUUGUAGUUAUAUUUUUAUUAAAAAAAAAAACUCAAACUUUGGUUCAUCUCGCAAACUCAAGAACUAACUCAUCUUUUAUGCUCUCAAAUUCCUCGCAGCGAGCAUCUUAUAAUUUUGUUUUUUUAUCAUAAUAUUAAGAGGAGUUUAUUGAUAUAAGACAAAGAAUAUUAUGGAUAAAAAUUAAGUACUAUGUAUAUUUUUGAGUUAAUUUAUUCCUUUUACAUGAAUGAAUAAAAGAAUAAAUAUUUCAAUUUCUUUCACAAUAAGAAAAUGAAGUAGGUUCCGAUUUUG